Long non-coding RNA from Portunus trituberculatus (swimming crab), 1280 nucleotides. RefSeq lists it as uncharacterized. The record is from RefSeq and is a predicted model, not a curated record. The transcript has 3 exons. NCBI's taxonomy places the organism in Eukaryota, Metazoa, Arthropoda, Malacostraca, Decapoda, Portunidae.
AGAGAGAGAGAGAGAGAGAGAGAGAGAGAGCGAGAGAGAGAGAGAGAGAGAGAGAGAGAGAGAGAGAGAGAGAGAGAGAGAGAGAGAAUUAUUACUACAUAUCAAAGCUUCUAAAUUUAACUUCCCUUUCUGUUUAGUGGGUCAGCUGGGCAAGGGGGAGAUAGGGAGAGUAAAUGGGGAAGAGAGGGGAGACUAGCAGGGGUGAGGGGAGCAUAAAGGGAGCUUGGCAGGGGUGCUAGGGUGAGGGGAGGGGCGCCAGGGAGACUGAAGUAGCGACAGGUGUUAAGUAGUGUUAGUGAGGCAGGUAAAUGGGAAAUGGUUUCAGGUAAGAGGGUUGCCAGGUAAACUUAUUAAGGUAUAUUAGUACAGGUACACACUGACAAACAAACAGACAGACUGACUUAAUUUCACCUAAUGUUUCCUAACUUAGUGUAACGUGACUUAAUAUUUCCUUACUUAACCUAACUUCACCUAACCUAACCUAACCUAACUUCACCUAAUGUUUCCUAACUUACCCAGCUUAGUGUAACGUGACUUAAUGUUUCCUUACGUGACUCAACCUAAUUUCACCUAACCUAUUCUAACUUAACCCAUCCUAAUGUAACCAAACUGAACUUUACCUAAUUCCAUCUAACUUUACUUGAUCUUAGCCAACUUGACCUAAGCUAUCACUAUUCCAAUUUAAUCUAACUAAAAGACAAUGAUAGUCACACACACACACACACACACACACACACACACACACACACACACAUUCACACACACACACAUUCACCAAAGCGUAAAGUAUAAACGACUACAAACGAUGCCAUUUAUAAUACUAUUUAUUUUAUAGUGAGACGUUAUGACGAGAACAUUUUUCCUCCAGACGCAACGUUAUUCCAGUUGUGACUUUGAAUUUUUUGUAUAACGUUAAGAAUUUUAGUGCUGGUCUAGUCAUAGGUUAAGUUAGGUUAGGUUAGGUUAGCUCAGAUGAGAUACAGUGAGGUUAGGUUAGGUUAGGUUAGCUCAGAUGAGAUACAGUGAGGUCAGGUAAGAUGAGGUGUUAGAUUAGGUUAGGUCAGAUUAGUUGUAGUCAGGUAAGAUAAGUAAGUUAAAAGGUUAAUUUAGAUUAGGUUAGGUUAGGUGAAGUGAAGUGAGUUGAGAUGUGGUUAGGUUAGGUUAGGUUAGGUUAGGUUAGUGAAGUUAGGUUAUGUGAAAUGAGUUUAAAUGAAAUUAAAUUAGGUUAGGUUAGGUUAUUUGAAGUGAAGUGAGUGGAAAUGAGGUUAGUUUAGGUUAGG